Molecule: ribosomal RNA, 440 nt
Filed under: uncultured bacterium
Lineage: Bacteria
Description: partial 16S ribosomal RNA
Rfam family: Bacterial small subunit ribosomal RNA
Source: RNAcentral
CCUACGGGUGGCAGCAGUAGGGAAUAUUGCUCAAUGGGGGAUACCCUGAAGCAGCAACGCCGCGUGGAGGAUGAAGGUUUUAGGAUUGUAAACUCCUUUUGUUAGAGAAGAUAAUGAAGGUAUCUCACGAAUAAGCACCGGCUAAAUCCGUGCCAGCAGCCGCCGGAAUACGGAGGGUGCAAGCGUUAAUCGGAAUCACUGGGCGUAAAGAGUACGCAGGCGGGCUUGUAAGUCAGAUGUGAAAUCCUGUGGCUUAACUACAGAACUGCAUUUGAAACUAUGAGGCGAGAGUGCGGGAGAGGUAGGUGGAAUUCUUGGUGUAGCGGUAAAAUCCGUAGAUAUCAAGAGGAAUACUCAUGGCGAAGGCGACCUACUGGAACAUUACUGACGCUGAUGCACGAAAGCGUGGGGAGCAAACAGGAUUAGAUACCCGUGUAGUC